GAACUGCCUAUUUAGUGUCACUUCCUCUCUCUCUCUCUCUCAGUGAGGUUGGGCUAUCUCCAUGGCGUUGGGAGCUAGCUCAGCGACGUUGGGAGCUAGCUCAGCGACGUUGGGAGCUCUGGGUGACGUUUUGGCGUGCUUGCUGAUAGCGUGAUUUAGGUGAGACGUCUUCCCUGAGCGACCUUGCUCAUUCUACAGAUGAAGAAACUGAGGCAAAUAGGAGAAAAGUAACUUGCCCAUGGUCACAGAGCUAGAACAUAAUCUUUUGGCUAAUAAGUUAACAGAAGUGACCACCUACAUUAAUACCAAUGACAGCAUCAGUAAUUCCAGCCGUGUGUUUGCUUCCUUUCUGAGAAGCUGAGAACCCAGCCCAUAUCUCUUUCAUCCUCUUGACAUUUCUAUGGGGGGGGGGGGGAGGAGGGAGGGAAGGAAAGGAGGCAAAAAGGGAAGGGAGGUAUUAGGAAAUGAUGUCAUGGUAUAAAUUGUCAUUGCUAUUGAGUUGUUUUG
Molecule: long non-coding RNA, 507 nt
Filed under: Monodelphis domestica (gray short-tailed opossum)
Lineage: Eukaryota; Metazoa; Chordata; Mammalia; Didelphimorphia; Didelphidae
Description: lncRNA (ENSMODG00000036097.2)
Source: RNAcentral